This 506-nucleotide ribosomal RNA is filed under the name uncultured bacterium. Its description in RNAcentral is "partial 16S ribosomal RNA". It matches the Rfam family "Bacterial small subunit ribosomal RNA", at positions 29 to 523 of the family's 1533-position model. The record is from RNAcentral.
AGUGAACGCUGGCGGUAGGCCUAACACAUGCAAGUCGAACGGCAGCACAGGAGAGCUUGCUCUCUGGGUGGCGAGUGGCAGACGGGUGAGGAAUACAUCGGAAUCUACUCUGUCGUGGGGGAUAACGUAGGGAAACUUACGCUAAUACUGCAUACGACCUACGAGCGAAAGCAGGGGACCUUCGGGCCUUGCGCGAUUGAAUGAGCCGAUGUCGGAUUAGCUAGUUGGCGGGGUAAAGGCCCACCAAGGCGACGAUCCGUAGCUGGUCUGAGAGGAUGAUCAGCCACACUGGUACUGAGACACGGUCCAGACUCCUACGGGAGGCAGCAGUGGGGAAUAUUGGACAAUGGGCGCAAGCCUGAUCCAGCCAUACCGCGUGGGUGAAGAAGGCCUUCGGGUUGUAAAGCCCUUUUGUUGGGAAAGAAAUCCAGCUGGCUAAUACCCGGUUGGGAUGACGGUACCCAAAGAAUAAGCACCGGCUAACUUCGUGCCAGCCGCCGCCGUAA